GAUUGUCUUUCCAAAACCUAUAAAACCUUAAACUCUGAGCGCGCAAGAGAUGAUGGAUUAUUGCUUAUUUAGACUCAUAAACUUUGAAAUUUGGUUUUGCAAGAAUACCUACAGGACAUAUAUAUAAGACUCACGACAGAAAACAUAAUUGCUGCAAAGGCAAUUUUCUGAGUUUAAGGGUUAAUAAGUGAAAACCCAUCACUCCUUACGCGCUCAGAGUUUAAGGUUUUAUAGGUUUUGGAAGGACAACC
This is a non-coding RNA of Paramuricea clavata, 251 nucleotides long. The record is from the annotation of a GenBank genome assembly. NCBI's taxonomy places the organism in Eukaryota, Metazoa, Cnidaria, Anthozoa, Malacalcyonacea, Plexauridae.